GGUUGUGCUUCAGUGGUAGAGUGCUUGCCUAAUAUGCAUGAGGCACUGGGUUCGAUCCCUGGCACCA
RNAcentral lists this transfer RNA (67 nucleotides) under Marmota monax (woodchuck). Its description in RNAcentral is "tRNA.Ile". The record is from RNAcentral. Lineage: Eukaryota; Metazoa; Chordata; Mammalia; Rodentia; Sciuridae.